This 70-nucleotide transfer RNA is filed under the name Scelio sp. ZJUH_2016028. RNAcentral's name for it is "tRNA-Lys". Lineage: Eukaryota; Metazoa; Arthropoda; Insecta; Hymenoptera; Scelionidae. The record is from RNAcentral.
CACUAAGUAACUUAAUUAAAGUAAUGGUCUCUUAAACCAAUUCAUAAUAAUUUAACCUUAUUCUUAAUGA